GCUGGUGUAGCUCAGUUGGUAGAGCAGUUGAUUUGUAAUCAUCAGGUCGGGAGUUCGAGCCUCUCCUCCAGCACCA
RNAcentral lists this transfer RNA (76 nucleotides) under Saprospirales bacterium TMED214. RNAcentral describes it as "tRNA-Thr". It matches the Rfam family "tRNA". From Rfam's summary of the family: Transfer RNA (tRNA) molecules are approximately 80 nucleotides in length. Their secondary structure includes four short double-helical elements and three loops (D, anti-codon, and T loops). Lineage: Bacteria; Pseudomonadati; Bacteroidota; Saprospiria; Saprospirales. The record is from RNAcentral.